UGGGGAAUUUUGGACAAUGGGCGCAAGCCUGAUCCAGCCGUGCCGCGUGCGGGAAGAAGGCCUUCGGGCUGUAAACCGCUUUUGUCAGGGAAGAAAAGGUUCUGGCUAAUACCUGGGACUCAUGACGGUACCUGAAGAAUAAGCACCGGCUAACUACGUGCCAGCAGCCGCGGUAAUACGUAGGGUGCAAGCGUUAAUCGGAAUUACUGGGCGUAAAGCGUGCGCAGGCGGUUAUGCAAGACAGAGGUGAAAUCCCCGGGCUCAACCUGGGAACUGCCUUUGUGACUGCAUGGCUAGAGUACGGUAGAGGGGGAUGGAAUUCCGCGUGUAGCAGUGAAAUGCGUAGAUAUGCGGAGGAACACCGAUGGCGAAGGCAAUCCUCUGGACCUGUACUGACGCUCAUGCACGAAAGCGUGGGAGCAAACAGGAUUAGAUACCCUGGUAGUCCACGCCCUAAACGAUGUCAACUGGUUGUUGGGAGGGUUUC
This 487-nucleotide ribosomal RNA is filed under the name uncultured Pseudomonadota bacterium. RNAcentral's name for it is "bacterial SSU rRNA". It matches the Rfam family "Bacterial small subunit ribosomal RNA", at positions 355 to 835 of the family's 1533-position model. Lineage: Bacteria; Pseudomonadati; Pseudomonadota. The record is from RNAcentral.